This 467-nucleotide ribosomal RNA is filed under the name uncultured bacterium. Its description in RNAcentral is "partial 16S ribosomal RNA". It matches the Rfam family "Bacterial small subunit ribosomal RNA", at positions 28 to 507 of the family's 1533-position model. The record is from RNAcentral.
GACGAACGCUGGCGGCGUGCUUAACACAUGCAAGUCGAACGGAAAGGCCCUGCUUUUGUGGGGUGCUCGAGUGGCGAACGGGUGAGUAACACGUGAGUAACCUGCCCUUGACUUUGGGAUAACUUCAGGAAACUGGGGCUAAUACCGGAUAGGAGCUCCUGCUGCAUGGUGGGGGUUGGAAAGUUUCGGCGGUUGGGGAUGGACUCGCGGCUUAUCAGCUUGUUGGUGGGGUAGUGGCUUACCAAGGCUUUGACGGGUAGCCGGCCUGAGAGGGUGACCGGCACAAUUGGACCGAGGUAACGGCCCGGACCCUUCCGGGGGGAAGCGGGGGGGAAUUUUCAACAAUGGCCGGAGGCUGGCUGCGGCACCGCGGGGGGGGGAAUAACGGCCUUGGGGUUGUAACCCGCUUCCGCCGUUGAGAAGGCGUGAGGAAGGUUAUGGGUAAAGAAGCACCGGCUAACUACGUG